This 456-nucleotide ribosomal RNA is filed under the name Streptococcus mutans. Its description in RNAcentral is "bacterial SSU rRNA". It matches the Rfam family "Bacterial small subunit ribosomal RNA", at positions 28 to 464 of the family's 1533-position model. The record is from RNAcentral. Lineage: Bacteria; Bacillati; Bacillota; Bacilli; Lactobacillales; Streptococcaceae.
GACGAACGCUGCCGCGUGCCUAAUACAUGCAAGUGGGACGCAAGGGAACACACUGUGCUUGCACACCGUGUUUUCUUGAGUCGCGAACGGGUGAGUAACGCGUAGGUAACCUGCCUAUUAGCGGGGGAUAACUAUUGGAAACGAUAGCUAAUACCGCAUAAUAUUAAUUAUUGCAUGAUAAUUGAUUGAAAGAUGCAAGCGCAUCACUAGUAGAUGGACCUGCGUUGUAUUAGCUAGUUGGUAAGGUAAGAGCUUACCAAGGCGACGAUACAUAGCCGACCUGAGAGGGUGAUCGGCCACACUGGGACUGAGACACGGCCCAGACUUCUACGGGAGGCAGCAGUAGGGAAUCUUCGGCAAUGGACGAAAGUCUGACCGAGCAACGCCGCGUGAGUGAAGAAGGUUUUCGGAUCGUAAAGCUCUGUUGUAAGUCAAGAACGUGUGUGAGAGUGGAAA